Molecule: ribosomal RNA, 522 nt
Filed under: Uroteuthis sp. JMS-2004
Lineage: Eukaryota; Metazoa; Mollusca; Cephalopoda; Myopsida; Loliginidae
Description: Photololigo sp. JMS-2004 partial 16S ribosomal RNA
Rfam family: Bacterial large subunit ribosomal RNA
Source: RNAcentral
CUCUCUUUGUAUAAUAUAAAUAAAGAGUUGGGCCUGCUCGGUGAAACGUUUAACAGCUGCGGUAUUUUAACUGUACUAAGGUAGCAUAAUAAUUUGCCUUAUAAUUUGAGGCUAGAAUGAAUGGUUUGACGAAGGUUAAUCUGUCUCCACUUUAUUUUUUAGAAAUUAAUUUUCAUAGUGAAAAAGCUUGAAUUUUUUAAGGGGACGAGAAGACCCUACUGAGCUUAUAAUUUUAUUAAAACAUAUAUUCAUAUAUAUUGUGUUAUAUAAAUUUUAAUUGGGGUGAUUAAGGAAUAAUAUUAUUAUAUAUGUAACUUCCUUAGAAAUAUUAUAUUGUUGAAUAAAGUAACCGAUAAAUUAAUAUAAUUAUUAUGUAUUGCUUAUAAUAUAGUUACCAUAGGGAUAACAGCGUAAUUUACUUAGAGAGUUCUUAUUGAAAAGUAAGAUUGCGACCUCGAUGUUGGAUUAAAGUAACCUUAAGGUGCAGAAGCUUUAUGGGGUAAAUCUGUUCGAUUUUAACUU